GAUGAACGCUGGCGGCGUGCCUAAUACAUGCAAGUCGAGCGAACAGAUGAGGAGCUUGCUCCUCUGACGUUAGCGGCGGACGGGUGAGUAACACGUGGAUAACCUACCUAUAAGACUGUGAUAACUUCGGGAAACCGGAGCUAAUACCGGAUAAUAUAUUGAACCGCAUGGUUCAAUAGUGAAAGACGGUUUUGCUGUCACUUAUAGAUGGAUCCGCGCCGCAUUAGCUAGUUGGUAAGGUAACGGCUUACCAAGGCAACGAUGCGUAGCCGACCUGAGAGGGUGAUCAGCCACACUGGAACUGAGACACGGUCCAGACUCCUACGGGAGGCAGCAGUAGGGAAUCUUCCGCAAUGGGCGAAAGCCUGACGGAGCAACGCCGCGUGAGUGAUGAAGGUCUUCGGAUCGUAAAACUCUGUUAUUAGGGAAGAACAAAUGUGUAAGUAACUAUGCACGUCUUGACGGUACCUAAUCAGAAAGCCACGGCUAACUACGUG
RNAcentral lists this ribosomal RNA (497 nucleotides) under uncultured bacterium. RNAcentral describes it as "partial 16S ribosomal RNA". It matches the Rfam family "Bacterial small subunit ribosomal RNA", at positions 28 to 507 of the family's 1533-position model. The record is from RNAcentral.